CUCUUUUUGAAUUUAAUUUAAAGUUGGGCCUGCCCACUGAAAAUUUGAAGGGCCGCAGUAUUUUGACUGUGCAAAGGUAGCAUAAUCAUUAGUUUUUUAAUUGAAAGCUUGUAUGAAUGGUUUGAUGAAAAAAUUUCUGUUUCAAUUUUAAUUUAUAGAACUUUAUUUUUAAGUAAAAAAGCUUAAAUUUAAUUUAAAGACGAGAAGACCCUAUAGAGUUUAACUAAAUUUAGAAUUUUUAAAUUUAAGAAUUUUAUAUUAAAAAUUUUAAUUAAGUUUUGUUGGGGUGACAAAAAAAUUAAAUUAACUUUUUUUUAUUAAAAACAUUAAUUAUUGAAUUUUUGAUCCAUUUAUAUGAUUAAAAGAUUAAAUUACCUUAGGGAUAACAGCGUAAUUUUUUUUAGGAGUUCUUAUUUAAAAAAAAGAUUGCGACCUCGAUGUUGGAUUAAAAUUAAUUUUUGGUGUAGAAGCUAAAUAAUUAGGUCUGUUCGACCUUUAAAAUUUUACAUGAUCUGAGUUUAAACCGGUGUGAGCCAGGUUGGUUUCUAUCUUAAAUUUAUUUAAUAUUUUAGUACGAAAGGAUCAAAUAUUAUAUUAAUAAUAUUAAUUGAAGAAUUUUAUUUUGGCAGAUUAGUGCGAUAGAUUUAGAAUCUUUUAAUGUAUUUUUAUACAAAUAAAAAUUGAUUUAAUUUUAAUUAUUUUAAAUGUAUUAAUUUUAAUUAUUGGAGUAUUAGUUGGGCUUGCUUUUUUAACUUUAUUGGAACGAAAAUUAUU
This 774-nucleotide ribosomal RNA is filed under the name Epilachna cruciata. RNAcentral's name for it is "partial 16S ribosomal RNA". The stretch from base 382 to 540 matches the Rfam family "Bacterial large subunit ribosomal RNA", at positions 2473 to 2632 of the family's 2925-position model. The record is from RNAcentral. Lineage: Eukaryota; Metazoa; Arthropoda; Insecta; Coleoptera; Coccinellidae.